RNAcentral lists this ribosomal RNA (375 nucleotides) under uncultured bacterium. Its description in RNAcentral is "bacterial SSU rRNA". It matches the Rfam family "Bacterial small subunit ribosomal RNA", at positions 28 to 404 of the family's 1533-position model. The record is from RNAcentral.
GACGAACGCUGGCGGCGUGCUUAACACAUGCAAGUCGAGCGGUAAGGCCCUUUCGGGGGUACACGAGCGGCGAACGGGUGAGUAACACGUGGGUGACCUGCCCUCAGCUCUGGGAUAAGCCUGGGAAACCGGGUCUAAUACUGGAUAUGACUCCAUGACGCAUGUUGUGGGGUGGAAAGCCUUGUGCGGCUGAGGAUGGGCCCGCGGCCGAUCAGCUUGUUGGUGGGGUGANGGCCUACCAAGGCGACGACGGGUAGCCGGCCUGAGAGGGCGACCGGCCACACUGGGACUGAGACACGGCCCAGACUCCUACGGGAGGCAGCAGUGGGGAAUCUUGCGCAAUGGGCGAAAGCCUGACGCAGCGACGCCGCGUGA